This 1006-nucleotide long non-coding RNA is filed under the name Hordeum vulgare. RNAcentral describes it as "long non-coding RNA (HVUL_LNC002973)". The record is from RNAcentral. Lineage: Eukaryota; Viridiplantae; Streptophyta; Magnoliopsida; Poales; Poaceae.
GAAAGGCAUCCUAGUACCAUAGCCCUCUUGAGUUUUUACAUGGAACGAGGAUCCCACAGUAGUAUUGUACGUCUGAAUUUUUGGUACAGGUCAUCAGGGGAGAAAAGGACAACUUUUCAAUUGAGCGUUGCAAUCCGAUCUUCGGUUUCAUGGCUCAGAAACCAAUACCUCCAAACAAAAAGCAGACAAUAAGAGUGGAUACAUUCGUACUUUUUGCAGUUCAUAUAACACUGCAGAGUGCGCCUAAGGCUGAGCGAGUAGAAGAAAUUGGCGGGUGAAUGUGAUUUCUGAAGCCCAGGUGGAGUGGAAGUUUCCCACGGAAUUUGCUACCGGAACAGCUCCAAGACCUGUGUCCUCCAAGCAUCUGAUUUGAUGAGUACCCGACCAGCACCAGCACACAUAAACACGUACGAUUUAUGUGUCUGUAGAUCCGUAAGAUAAACCACCGAAAAAGGAAUACCAGCAUCAGCGUUAGAAGUACCGAAGAAAUAACUUGUCAACAAUAGGGAAUAGAGGAACACAUGGAAACUACCAUUCCUCCUGUCUAAAAAUCAUCAUAAUGGGUCUCUAUUGGCAAAACAACAUGAGACUCUUUGUCGUCCCGUGUCUCUGGUUUGGCUUUGGCAGGCCAAUCAAAAUAAGAAACUUUCAACAAUACUCUUUUCAAAGGUUAAAGGUUAACUACUGCAGUGGAAUGGUAUAUAUGGUCACAACAUGUCAUUCUUCAUUGUUUUAGAAUUUUGGCAUAACUUGGGCAAAGGCUGAGCGCACAGACAUACAGACCAUGCAACUUAAGCUGCUUCUCUGACCGGCAUGUUCACAAUAUCAGGGGAGGAGUACCUAAAAUAAAUUGCACGCCUAGCCAUUAGAGGAAAAUAAUUUGAGAAGCCAAAGAAAGGUGAGAUCCUGUAGAGCUGGAGGAGGAUAUGGAUUCAACUAAGCACAUGGUUACCAGUUAUUUAAGUACUUGUAGUACCACUUCAAACAAGAAGUAUGCACUAUAUGU